RNAcentral lists this ribosomal RNA (461 nucleotides) under uncultured bacterium. RNAcentral describes it as "partial 16S ribosomal RNA". It matches the Rfam family "Bacterial small subunit ribosomal RNA", at positions 339 to 795 of the family's 1533-position model. The record is from RNAcentral.
CUACGGGUCGCUCCAGUGAGGAAUAUUGGUCAAUGGCCGAGAGGCUGAACCAGCCAUCCCGCGUGCAGGAUGACGGCCCUAUGGGUUGUAAACUGCUUUUCUACGCCAAGAAAUCUGAUUACGAGUAAUUAGUUGACGGUAGCGUAGGAAUAAGCAUCGGCUAACUCCUGCUGCCAGCAGCCGCGGUAAUACGGAGGAUGCAAGCGUUAUCCGGAUUCAUUGGGUCUAAAGGGUGCGCAGGCGGGCUUGUAAGUCAGUGGUGAAAUACUGCCGCUUAACGGUAGAACUGCCAUUGAUACUGCAAGUCUUGAAUAUGGUUGAGGUAGGCGGAAUGUGUUGUGUAGCGGUGAAAUGCAUAGAUAUGACACAGAACGCCGAUUGCGAAGGCAGCUUACUAAGCCAUUAUUGACGCUGAGGCACGAAAGCGUGGGGAGCGAACAGGAUUAGAUACCCUGGUAGUC